This 99-nucleotide signal recognition particle RNA is filed under the name Phaeovulum veldkampii DSM 11550. Its description in RNAcentral is "signal recognition particle sRNA small type". It matches the Rfam family "Bacterial small signal recognition particle RNA". From Rfam's summary of the family: The signal recognition particle (SRP) is a universally conserved ribonucleoprotein involved in the co-translational targeting of proteins to membranes. Archaeal SRP consists of a 7S RNA and homologues of the eukaryotic SRP19 and SRP54 proteins. Lineage: Bacteria; Pseudomonadati; Pseudomonadota; Alphaproteobacteria; Rhodobacterales; Paracoccaceae. The record is from RNAcentral.
UGAGAGGUUGGCGCGGGCGGACGCCUCGCCAACCCGGUCAGGUCCGGAAGGAAGCAGCCGUAACGAUUCACGUCUGGGUCGCUGUCCAGCCUCUCACCU